GUGCCCAGUUGGAUUUGUAGAGAAGAACAACCACACCCUCUGCAGUACAGCACCUGGAGAGGAACUGCUGCCAUGACCAUACAGGACACCCUCUGGAUACAAUGCCAGACUUGAUGUGGGACUUACUAACCUAUGGACCCCAGGCACCACCACCUAGACCUGCUCAGCACCUGAAACUUUUCUAUCUCCUGUUCACUCUUCAUGUAGACAUAUCUUCAAGUCAUCUUCUCCAGGUGAUACAAACCUUAAGAGCAUCUUUGUACCCAUCAGGAACGAGUACACAGUGAGUGAUAUGCAUUUGUUGAGUUGGAUCUUUGAUAUUUCCACACAUAUUUUCAACAUACCUGAAAUUUAUAUUCUAAAACUUAUAUCCGUAUCUAUAUUCUAAAAAUGUGUAUCUUAAGACUCAUCUUUGGUUAAGGGCUCAUUAACAGGAAAAAGCUUUUAGCAAAUUUAUUAAUUAGGGUCAAUCUACUGUUGAUUAUUUAUUUAGCUUAUUAGCUUAGUUUAAUUCUAUCAUUAUUACUUGUAAGUAAAAGAGAAUGAGCUUGAAUUUCAAAGGUAUAUAUCAACUGCAUGUUAAAUAAUAAUAGUUACUAUUAAAUUCUACCCAUGGCUUUUAUUCCUAGAACAGUCCCACGCUAACUAAACUUUUUUCAUGAAGUUGUCAUGAUGUAAAAAUUGCUAAGGUUAACUCCUGGUAAGAAUCCCUUUCCACAUGCACCAUCAAUGCACGUGAUGGUGAGUGUGUUAAGGAGGAGGGGAGAAUGAAAGGCAGAGCUUACAGUGUCUACUUGGACAGUACAAAAGUUUGUCAGAAUUUUUUUUUAAAAAGCUACUUCAAAGAGGUGAGUUUUCAAUUGCAAUUCAAAAUGAGGGUGGCCAGGCACAGUGGCUCAAGUCUGUAAUCCCAGUGGUUUGGGAGGCCAAGGCAGGAGAAGCACUUGAAGCCAAGAGUUCAAGACCAGCUUGAACAACAUAGCAAGCCCCUGUCUCUACAAAAAAUUUAAAAAUUAGCCUGGCAUAGUGGUGCAUGCCUGUGCACCACUCAGAAGGCUAAGGUGGGAGGAUCGAUUGAGCGAGGAGUUUGAGGCUGCAGUGAGCCAUGAUCACGCCACUGCACUCCAACCUAAUGACAGAGUGAGACCCUGUCACUUACUUAUGCAUUUAUUUAUUUAUUAUAAAUAAAUAAAUAAUAAAAUGAGGGUGACACUCAGAGCCACAAGACCAAACCCCAGCGAAGAAGAGAAGGUGAGCAUUAGAGUCUAAGAAUAGUUAGUAUAUGCCAUGCUUUCUAGGAGGGCCCCAGAGCCCUUUACAAGCUACGCUGGGGUUGAAGAGAGAUGAAGUUAAAACAAACUGUAUCUGCUUCAAGGUCCUUUCUUACAGCUCUACACCUAUGAUCUUCCAGAAAAAGAAAGCCCACUUUCUUUGAUGCAGGGAUUGUGUUGUGAAAACUCUAGUGCUAUGGCUGCCAGUUAUUUCCCCUUUCAUCCACAAUAGUAAUUUCUCCUCCAGCUGAUGAGCUCAAAGUGUUAUGGUUCCAAGCAGAAAUGCUACUUGCAAACAAAAAAAUCAGAGAGAGUGUUUUUAAAUCCAAAUCCUUUUAUCUUCUGGUUUGCAUGUGGGCAAAGCCUAUUUUUUAAUAUCACAAGUGGCUUAUUAUUCCAACGCUGGAAUAGAAGGAGAAGGCUGAAGUUUGGGUAAGAUAUAAAAACAGAUUAUCUUUCAUCAGCACCCAAUAGUUGGAGACCAAUUUUGAGUAGAUAAUAAACAGACUUCUUUGCUAAGGAUGUGCUCUUGACAAGAAGUGUGUCUUGAACUGAAGGUUGAAGUAAUUGCCUUAGGCCUCCAGGAAGAAUGCAAAUCUGCAGGUCUUCCACAGGUUUCUGAAAUCUUACGUCUGUAUUUCUGGGGUCAUCAUCCAUGUUUCCAAAUGCUAACACAUAUGCGGGAAAUGCAGGGUCGUAAUGGUGGAUGUCCCUACAACGGGCUUUUUUUUGUGCUCUUGAGAUUUCUGAUCAUGUUUUUAUGUGAUUCUUCAGUCCCUGCACCUACAUUCCAUACCUUGGAAAGCUGAAUGGCUGUUCUUGGUCUCAGCUGGUCCUUCUCAAUUUCAGUAACGAUCUCAGGACAUUCAUUUAUAUAAAAAAAUCUGAUUAACAGUGUGAUGCUCAUAGGCAGACCCAAUUUUCUUACCUUUUAAUAAAUUUAUUAGCGGAUAAAAGUGGGCCUCAAAUAAUAGUUCAGAGAGAUGUUUACCCUCAGUGCAACAAGUGUGCUCUUCAUAAAUGACUGCAAAUAAAGCUCAUAUCCAAUUAAGAGGUUGACUUGGCUUAAAAUAUACCUCCUAGGCUGGGCCUGGUGGCUUCUGCCUGAAAUCAGCAGUUUGGGACACUGAAGUAGGAGAAUCACUUGAGGGAAGAAGUUUGAGACCAGCCUGGGCCACAUAGUAAGACCCCAUCUCUCCAAAAUAUA
RNAcentral lists this long non-coding RNA (2478 nucleotides) under Macaca mulatta (Rhesus monkey). RNAcentral's name for it is "lncRNA (ENSMMUG00000052509.1)". The record is from RNAcentral. Lineage: Eukaryota; Metazoa; Chordata; Mammalia; Primates; Cercopithecidae.